ACUUGGCUACAUCCGCC
This 17-nucleotide transfer RNA is filed under the name Rhipidocladum racemiflorum. RNAcentral's name for it is "partial tRNA-His". Lineage: Eukaryota; Viridiplantae; Streptophyta; Magnoliopsida; Poales; Poaceae. The record is from RNAcentral. RNAcentral also lists the same sequence under 1 other name.